UACGGAGGGUGCGAGCGUUGUCCGGAAUCACUGGGCGUAAAGGGCGCGUAGGUGGCCUGUGGAAGUCUGCGGUGAAAGCCCGGCGCUCAACGCCGGGUCGGCCGUGGAUACUCUCGGGCUCGAGCUUACUAGAGGCAGAUGGAAUUCCGGGUGUAGCGGUGGAAUGCGUAGAGAUCCGGAGGAACACCGGUGGCGAAGGCGGGUCUCUGGGCCGUUACUGACGCUGAGGAGCGAAAGCGUGGGGAGCGAACAGG
Molecule: ribosomal RNA, 254 nt
Filed under: uncultured bacterium
Lineage: Bacteria
Description: partial 16S ribosomal RNA
Rfam family: Bacterial small subunit ribosomal RNA
Source: RNAcentral